This 478-nucleotide ribosomal RNA is filed under the name uncultured bacterium. Its description in RNAcentral is "partial 16S ribosomal RNA". It matches the Rfam family "Bacterial small subunit ribosomal RNA", at positions 28 to 523 of the family's 1533-position model. The record is from RNAcentral.
AGUGAACGCUGGCGGCGUGCUUAACACAUGCAAGUCGAACGGUAAGGCCCUUCGGGGUACACGAGUGGCGAACGGGUGAGUAACACGUGGGUGAUCUGCCCUGCACUUCGGGAUAAGCCUGGGUAACUGGGUCUAAUACCGGAUAGCACCACUGCCUGCAUGGGUGGUGGUGGAAAGCUUUUGCGGUGUGGGAUGGGCCCGCGGCCUAGCAGCUUGUUGGUGGGGUGAUGGCCUACCAAGGCGACGACGGGUAGCCGGCCUUAGAGGGUGACCGGCCACACUGGGACUGAGAUACGGCCCAGACUCCUACGGGAGGCAGCAGUGGGGAAUAUUGCACAAUGGGCGCAAGCCUGAUGCAGCGACGCCGCGUGAGGGAUGACGGCCUUCGGGUUGUAAACCUCUUUCAGCUAUGACGAAGCGCAAGUGACGGUAGUAGCAGAAGAAGGACCGGCCAACUACGUGCCAGCAGCCGCCGUAA